UUUGGCCUACGGGAGGCAGCAGUGAGGAAUAUUGGUCAAUGGGAGAGAUCCUGAACCAGCCAAGCCGCGUGAGGGAAGACGGCCCUAUGGGUUGUAAACCUCUUUUGUCGGAGAACAAAACCCGGGACGUGUCCCGGACUGCGUGUAUCCGAAGAAAAAGCAUCGGCUAACUCCGUGCCAGCAGCCGCGGUAAUACGGAGGAUGCGAGCGUUAUCCGGAUUUAUUGGGUUUAAAGGGUGCGUAGGCGGUCCGUUAAGUCAGCGGUAAAAUUGCGGGGCUCAACCUCGCUCCGCCGUUGAAACUGG
RNAcentral lists this ribosomal RNA (305 nucleotides) under uncultured bacterium. Its description in RNAcentral is "bacterial SSU rRNA". It matches the Rfam family "Bacterial small subunit ribosomal RNA", at positions 333 to 636 of the family's 1533-position model. The record is from RNAcentral.